AAAUCUGAGCCACAGCUGUCGGCCUAUACCACAGGCACAGCAAUGCGGGAUCUGAGCCACCUCUGUGACCUACACCACAGCUCACGGCAAUGCCGGAUCCUUAACCCACUGAGCGAGGCCGGGGAUGGAACCCAGAUCCUCAUGGAUCCUAGUCAGGGUCGUUAACUGCGGAGCCAUGGAGGGAACGCCCUAGAGUCUUUUCUUGAGCAGGAGCAGGAGAGGAGCACAAAGGCUGAGCCUCAUUCGUGAUUACGUAUCAAGCGCUGCAUUUGCUCGGCUCCUUCCACGUGGUUAAUGCUCAGUACCUUGCUCAAAUGAAUGAGUUUUCAUUGACUUAGGAAUUCCAGAAGUUUAACAGCAAAGAUGGGGAAAGCGCAGAUAAAGCAGAAGAUAACAGAGAGAAGAGAGGAACAGAGUUGGAGGAGAGGCAGUGGGAGAAAGACGGAGGGCAAAGGGGCGAAGCCAGGACGUGGUCGUGGGCGCACCCGGUUUAAGGGCCAAGUAAUUCUUGCCAGAAGACUCGAGCUUGAGUCCGUCUACGCCACCGCCUGGUCCUCGCCCUCCUCCCAGUCUCUGCUUUUGAGGAAGAAGGACUCCCUGGUCCAAGGACAGUCGUUCCAUGAUGCUGGCUGAGGAAGGCUUGUUGGCGUCAGGGGCUAGGGGACUGUGCUUCAUGAGGCAAGAUCAAAAUCAAUUCUGAAAUUUCCUUCUUCUAUUUUUGAUCCGGCGACUUCUGUUUUAACAUUGCAACCAAAAUUGCUCCCCUGGGGUGCUUCCUUUGAUGAAGACAACCAACAAACAGCAAAGUAUUCUUUGUCUGCAGUGACCGAACCAAAUAAUAAUACAGCCGGACCUGUCUGAGCUCCUGGAAAAGGACGGGUCGGGUGUGGCAGAGAAAACCUCGGAUGCUGGCACAGGGACUCCAUGCAAAUCGUUCUCCUAAAUCCUCUUAUGUGACUGUCUCAUGAAGUAUGUUCACAGGCGCCCUCUAGAGUCUCAUCCUAUUGGUACCAUCGCUUUUAUUUUAGAUCGACAGGUGCCUGCAUCCCAUCCUCUCUCAGAGGUGGACACUGUGGUGGUUCCCCUCAGCCGCUACCAUCUGGGAGGCCGGCUGCAGUUGAAUUGUCUCUAUUUUAAGAGCCACCUCCGUGUCACAGGGCUGCGAGCCCCCACCCCACCCUCCUGUGAGGGGCCGGAUGGUCCGGUCUGGUCACAUCUGGGGAACGUGCUGCAUUAAGAGCUCUCUGUGUUGCAUGAUUAUCCACAGAAUUCGCCACGUAGCCUCGUGCGAUCCAAGAAACAGCAGUCCUGGCUGCAGGCCCGGCCGAAGCCGUCCCUUCAUCAGCUCUGCUUCGUUCAGGGGCUGGUCCGGGGCCUUCCUCUGAGUGCCCCUGCCGCAGCAGACUCAGUAUCUGAAAGCUCGCACGUUCGGGGACUCAGCAAAGGCCACUUUCCCCAGGUCAUCACGCAGGAGUCCCGGCGCUUCCCUGUCCCGAGACAAGGACAGCAUUGACCCCUGCGGUCCUUUGUGACCUGGGAGUGAAGGACGCAGGUCGCUGAGCUGAGCGCACAGGCUCAGGGAGACAGCGCAACAGCAGCCACUUUGCAGGCAGCCGCUCUGGUCCAAAGUGCCAGGACACAGCCAGCGAAAAGAGAAGCAGGUCCCCCACCCCCACAGGCGGAGGAAUAAGGAGCGGCUUGGACUUUGGGGCCUUUUGCAGAAAAGCUCCAGCAGCUUCCUGCUGCAGAACUCGCUGCCCUCAGGCCCAGACUUUGAACAGCAGGGACUGCCUGAAGCCCCUCCAGUGCUGGGCUCAGGGAGGCACAGAUGUCCCCCGGGUUAGGCCCUAAGCUCAGAAGAGAGCCCUGGGAGAAGACCAGGCUGGGCACAGGCCAGUUUGUGUCUUCAGUCUGCAGGUUUAAUUUGAUACAGAGACAUCUAUGGACACUUAGAGAUGACAGGGUGGGGACAGCGUGUUUCCUCGGGUCCCCAAGCGCAGUGAAGAAAACCAGCCCAUUCAAACACAAUACCAGAGAGAGGCACUUGCUUAUAAACAAGACAGGCCUUGUGUGGAUGUUGCUUAAACAAUUUCCAUUCUGUGAAAAUGUUCUCCACUGACACAAAAGGACAAAUGCCCCCAAUCGCCAGGCCCGCAUCUCUACAGAAUCCAGGAUUCUGUUGCUGGAGGCAGAGGGGCCUGCCCAUCUCACACGCCAUGAGAGGGACCAGGGAGAAAAGCAGGGGCGAGUGUCAUCCCCAUCAAAAUCCUGGCUGGGUGUUUUCAUGUGUUGAUUUCUAAUUUUAUGUAAAAAUGCAGAAGAUGUAGAAAAGCCAGAACAGUUUUGAAAAAGAAGUUGGAAGAUGUACACAACUUGACUUCAAGAUACAAUUUGAGAUGGAUCACAGACCUCAGGGGAAAGUCAUAACCAAAAACCUUGCAAGAGGAAACAGCAGAAUAUCUUCACAGCCUUGGGACAGAAGAGAAUUCUUGGACAGAACACAAAAAGCACGAACCGUAAAAGGAAAAUUAUUCAGUUAGGCUUGAUCGAAAUUGGAGCUGUCCACCAAUCCAAACACCACUUAAAAGCUAAAAGAUAAAGCCACCAGCCAAGGCGGAGAGAAAAUAUUUGCAAAACACUUAGCUAACAAAGAACUUGCACAGACUAUAAAAAGAAUCCCCAGACAUCAACAAAAAGCCCAAUUUUUAAAAAUAGGCAAAAGCCUUGAACAGAUACUUCAGAAAAGAACCUCAGCACUUUACUGAUCAACUCGUGAAGAAGUGCUCAGUAUCUUCGAGCAACAGAGAAAAAUGCACGUUGAAAUCGCAGAGAUGUCAUUUCACAAAAAUGGUAACACUAAUGAACAGAACACAGUGGCUACAGUAAAAGUCUCGUCAUACCAAACACUGACGAGGCUGUAACUCAGCUGCAACCCCGUGCGUGGCUGCUGCGCGUCUAAAAUGUACCGGCCACUUUGAAGGUAUGUCUGGCACCUGAUUAAAUUUACGUCUUACCCUUUGACCAAACAGUUCCACUCAGGCAUUUAUCCAAGAGAAAGCGCGUUCACAAAAGAUUCAAACGUUAGCAGCCCAGUUCAUAAUAGCCCCCAGUGGGAACCAACCUAAAUGUCUAUAAACAGUGAUGCGGCUAAACAAAUGAUUGCAUGUUCCCACAGGAGAAUAUUUCUCACAACAUAGAAGAGAACAAACCACCGGUACAUGCAAUACCAUGGACACAUCUCAAAGACGGAAGCCAGACAGAGAAGAGAAUCUACAACGUAAUUCCACUUGAAAUCCAGACCAAACUAAUCUAUGGUGAUAGAAAUAAAAAGGUGGCCAGCUGGGGAGAUGGCAGGGAGACUCCCCGGAAAGUAACCCCAAGGAACUUUCUGGGGUGCUAAGAAAUGUUUGCUGUCUUUUCCCAGAUGGUAUUUACACAGGCCUAUACAAUUAUCAGACUCAUCAAACUGAACACCUAAAGUCUCUGCUACUGUAUGUUUAUUACACCUAAAUUAACCGGGAACCACCAAAGCGGCAACAAGUGGCCCCCCUCACUGUUAAAGAGGGGCUUUUUCUUCAUCACAGGGGAGGCUGGACUGGGUGGUCCUUGGGUUUCCUCCAGAGUCUCUGAAACCAGAACUGAACAUAAACUCUUGAGCUGCUGGCACUGUGGUAGGAUUGACUCUGGGAACUUCUGGGAGUUAAGGGCUUGCUCCGUGUCAAAAAGAGCUGGGUCACCAUCUCGUGGGCUGCCUCAGUCUCCCCCUUUUCCCACUCUAAACCCGUGGACAUGUUUUCUCAUUUCCUUCUGACACCCUCCACCUUACCGACCAGGAAUCCGGCUCUGGAAGGCUGGGCAGCACGCUCGGCCUCGGCCCCACGUCCAGACGUCCCGUCCCCUGCUUUUAAUUGGAGCCACACCAGCACCGGGAAUGCCCUCCCCUUGCAGUGUCUCCCAAACCCAGCCUCCAGUGCGUGCCUCCAACGAGCAAAGCCUAAGCCACAUCUGAAUCUCUGGCCGAAGUUUAUUUGGGACAGUGGGCAUUUUCAAUAUUCAGCAGUUUUUCACUUUCCAGCCUCUGCCACCUAGGAUGUCAUCUUAAAAAAAAAAAAAAAAAAAAAUGGAAUAGACACCCAGCAAACCAAUCAGAAUCGCAUCAUGUAUGCUUCUCCUUUGGCCAUUUUUUUCUGAACCCUCUUCUAAUUCUUAGUU
RNAcentral lists this long non-coding RNA (4212 nucleotides) under Sus scrofa (pig). RNAcentral's name for it is "lncRNA (ENSSSCG00030025989.1)". The record is from RNAcentral. Lineage: Eukaryota; Metazoa; Chordata; Mammalia; Artiodactyla; Suidae.